UAUCACUGGUAAGGGCGUAUGGUGGAUGCCUUGGUAGACAGGACCGAUGAAGGACGUGACGGGCUGCGAUAUGCCUCGGGGAGCUGCCGAGUGGGCUUUGAUCCGAGGAUUUCCGAAUGGGGAGACCCGGCCACUGUUAUGGGUGGUCACCACAGUUUUUGUGGGGGGUACGCAGGGAAGUGAAACAUCUCAGUACCUGCAGGAAAGGAUACUCCGUGAGUAGUGGCGAGCGAAAGCGGAUCAGGCUAAACCGAGUACGUGUGAUAACCGUCAGGUGUUGCGUAUUCGGGGUCGUGGGAUUGACUGUUCAGCCUCUGACGGGGUUGAGAAGAGUGAUAAAAUGUCGUGUUAUGUGAAUGGGAUUGAAUUCCCAGCCGUAGAGGGUGAUGGCCCCGUAGCAGGUUGCGCGAUGUCUUUUUAUGUUUAUUCCCAAGUAGCGCGGGCCUCGUGGAAUCCCGCGUGAAUCUGCCCAGACCGUUGGGUAAGCCUAAGUAUUCCUGUCUGACCGAUAGUGUACUAGUACCGUGAGGGAAAGGUGAAAAGCACCCCGGGAGGGGAGUGAAAUAGUUCCUGAAACCGUGCGCUUACAAUCCGUCGGAGCCUUCUUUGUGGGGUGACGGCGUGCCUAUCGAAAAAUGAGUCUGCGAGUCAGUGGUAUGUGGCGAGGCUAACCCGGGUGGGGGAGCCGUAGCGAAAGCGAGUUUUAAAAGGCGUUUUAGUCGCAUGUCCUGGACCCGAAGCGGGAUGAUCUAGCCCUGAGCAGGUUGAAGCGCGGGUAAGACCGUGUGGAGGACCGAACCCACCUAGGUUGAAAACUGGGGGGAUGACUUGGGGUUAGGGGUGAAAGGCCAAUCAAAUUCCGUGAUAGCUGGUUCUCUCCGAAAUGCAUUUAGGUGCAGCGUCAUGUUAUUGCUUGCAGGGGGUAGAGCUACUGGAUGCUUGCGGGCCCAUACCGGGUACUAAUAGCAGCCAAACUCCGAAUACCUGUUAGGUUUAUCAUGGCAGUGAGUCGGCGGGGGAUAAGCUCCGUCGUCAAAAGGGAAACAGCCCUGAUCGUCGUCUAAGGUCCCGAAGCGCGUGCUAAGUGGGAAAGGAUGUGGAGUCGCAUAGACAGCCAGGAGGUUGGCUCAGAAGCAGCCAUCCUUGAAAGAGUGCGUAACAGCUCACUGGUCUAGUGGUUCCGCGCCGACAAUGUAGCGGGGCUUAAGCACGCCACCGAAGACGCGACUGCAUGAUUUAGUUCAUGUGGGGUAGGAGAGCGUCCUGUAUGGGGUGAAGCGGCAGUGUGAACUUGUCGUGGACUAUACGGGAGUGAGAAUGCAGACAUGAGUAGCGAGAGACAGGUGUGAAUCCUGUCCGCUGAAUGACUAAGGGUUCCGGGGCCACGUUCGUCGUCCCCGGGUGAGUCGAGUCCUAAGGCGAGGCCGACAGGCGUAGUCGAAUGGAUGAACGGGUUGAUAUUCCCGUACCGGUGUUACACCGUUCGAACUGAAUCUGAGAGUACUAACCUUCGUUAUUCUGGUUGAUUAUCUUUCGGGGUUUUUGACUGGUUUAGUGUUGGGACUGUAUCGGUAGUAGGUUAGCGUGGGAGUGACGCGGGUAGGUAGCCGGCUGCGGAGGUGGUUUUCCGUGGCUAAGCGUGUGGGCUGUCCUCUAGGUAAAUCCGGGGGAUGUUAAGCUGAGGCGUGAUGGGUAGGCUGUAAGGCUGAUUCCGGUGAUCCUGCUUGCCGAGAAAAGCUUCAACGUGAGGUGUGAUUCCGCUCGUACCCUAAACCGACACUGGUGGUCUGGUAGAGUAUACCAAAGCGAUCGGGCGAAUCCUGGCCAAGGAACUCGGCAAAUUACUCCCGUGCCUUCGGCAUAAGGGAGACCCCUGAUGGUGAUAUGGUUUCACAUUGUUGAGCUGUUGGGGGUGGCACAAGCUAGGGGGUAGCGACUGUUUACCAAAAACACAGGAGCGUGCGAAGGCGUAAGCCGCUGUAUACGCUCUGACGCCUGCCCGGUGCCGGAAGGUUAAGAGGAUCCGUUAGCUUCGGUGAAGCGGUGAAUUUAAGCCCCGGUAAACGGCGGUGGUAACUAUAACCAUCCUAAGGUAGCGAAAUUCCUUGUCGGGUAAGUUCCGACCUGCACGAA
Molecule: ribosomal RNA, 2133 nt
Filed under: Chlamydia trachomatis
Lineage: Bacteria; Pseudomonadati; Chlamydiota; Chlamydiia; Chlamydiales; Chlamydiaceae
Description: bacterial LSU rRNA
Rfam family: Bacterial large subunit ribosomal RNA
Source: RNAcentral